Molecule: ribosomal RNA, 511 nt
Filed under: uncultured bacterium
Lineage: Bacteria
Description: bacterial SSU rRNA
Rfam family: Bacterial small subunit ribosomal RNA
Source: RNAcentral
UAGAGUUUGAUCCUGGCUCAGGACGAACGCUGGCGGCGUGCCUAACACAUGCAAGUCGAGCGAUUCAGAAGUCGGAUAUCAAUCCGACCUCUGGAUAGCGGCGGACGGGUGAGUAACACGUGGGUAAUCUGCCCUACGGACCGGGAUAACACACCGAAAGGGGUGCUAAUACCGGAUAAAGUCAUCAUAUGGCAUCAUAAGAUGAAGAAAGGAGAAAUCCGCCAAAGGAGGAGCCCGCGUCCCAUUAGUUAGUUGGCGGGGUAAAAGCCCACCAAGGCGACGAUGGGUAGCCGGCCUGAGAGGGUGAACGGCCACACUGGAACUGAGACACGGUCCAGACUCCUACGGGAGGCAGCAGUGGGGAAUAUUGCGCAAUGGGGGGAACCCUGACGCAGCAACGCCGCGUGAGCGAAGAAGGCCUUCGGGUUGUAAAGCUCAAUAGUAUGGGAAGAUAAUGACGGUACCAUACGAAAGCCCCGGCUAACUACGUGCCAGCCGCCGCGGUAAUACA